Molecule: ribosomal RNA, 496 nt
Filed under: uncultured bacterium
Lineage: Bacteria
Description: partial 16S ribosomal RNA
Rfam family: Bacterial small subunit ribosomal RNA
Source: RNAcentral
GAUGAACGCUGGCGGCGUGCCUAAUACAUGCAAGUCGAGCGAACAGACGAGGAGCUUGCUCCUCUGACGUUAGCGGCGGACGGGUGAGUAACACGUGGAUAACCUACCUAUAAGACUGGGAUAACUUCGGGAAACCGGAGCUAAUACCGGAUAAUAUAUUGAACCGCAUGGUUCAAUAGUGAAAGACGGUUUUGCUGUCACUUAUAGAUGGAUCCGCGCCGCAUUAGCUAGUUGGUAGGGUAACGGCUUACCAAGGCAACGAUGCGUAGCCGACCUGAGAGGGUGAUCGGCCACACAGGAGCUGAGACACGGUCCAGACGCCUACGGGAGGCAGCAGUAGGGAAUCUUCCGCAAUGGGCGAAAGCCUGACGGAGCAACGCCGCGUGAGUGAUGAAGGUCUUCGGAUCGUAAAACUCUGUUAUGAGGGAAGAACAAAUGUGUAAGUAACGAUGCACGUCUUGACGGUACCUAAGCAGAAAGCCACGGCUAACUACGU